GGGCACCUACGGGGGCCUAUACCCCGGGCCGCAAGGCCCCAAACACCAGGCGGGGCAGCCCGCCUCGAGCUAACGGAAGACAGAAA
This is a regulatory RNA element of 86 nucleotides. It matches the Rfam family "L2-Alphaproteobacteria ribosomal protein leader". The record is from Rfam.